UGCAGUCGAACGAGUUCUGAUUAUUGAAAGGUGCUUGCAUCUUGAUUUAAUUUUGAACGAGUGGCGGACGGGUGAGUAACACGUGGGUAACCUGCCCUUAAGUGGGGGAUAACAUUUGGAAACAGAUGCUAAUACCGCAUAAAUCCAAGAACCGCAUGGUUCUUGGCUGAAAGAUGGCGUAAGCUAUCGCUUUUGGAUGGACCCGCGGCGUAUUAGCUAGUUGGUGAGGUAACGGCUCACCAAGGCAAUGAUACGUAGCCGAACUGAGAGGUUGAUCGGCCACAUUGGGACUGAGACACGGCCCAAACUCCUACGGGAGGCAGCAGUAGGGAAUCUUCCACAAUGGACGCAAGUCUGAUGGAGCAACGCCGCGUGAGUGAAGAAGGCUUUCGGGUCGUAAAACUCUGUUGUUGGAGAAGAAUGGUCGGCAGAGUAACUGUUGUCGGCGUGACGGUAUCCAACCAGAAAGCCACGGCUAACUACGUGCCAGCAGCCGCGGUAAUACGUAGGUGGCAAGCGUUAUCCGGAUUUAUUGGGCGUAAAGCGAGCGCAGGCGGUUUUUUAAGUCUGAUGUGAAAGCCCUCGGCUUAACCGAGGAAGUGCAUCGGAAACUGGGAAACUUGAGUGCAGAAGAGGACAGUGGAACUCCAUGUGUAGCGGUGAAAUGCGUAGAUAUAUGGAAGAACACCAGUGGCGAAGGCGGCUGUCUGGUCUGUAACUGACGCUGAGGCUCGAAAGCAUGGGUAGCGAACAGGAUUAGAUACCCUGGUAGUCCAUGCCGUAAACGAUGAAUGCUAGGUGUUGGAGGGUUUCCGCCCUUCAGUGCCGCAGCUAACGCAUUAAGCAUUCCGCCUGGGGAGUACGACCGCAAGGUUGAAACUCAAAGGAAUUGACGGGGGCCCGCACAAGCGGUGGAGCAUGUGGUUUAAUUCGAAGCAACGCGAAGAACCUUACCAGGUCUUGACAUCUUUUGAUCACCUGAGAGAUCAGGUUUCCCCUUCGGGGGCAAAAUGACAGGUGGUGCAUGGUUGUCGUCAGCUCGUGUCGUGAGAUGUUGGGUUAAGUCCCGCAACGAGCGCAACCCUUAUGACUAGUUGCCAGCAUUUAGUUGGGCACUCUAGUAAGACUGCCGGUGACAAACCGGAGGAAGGUGGGGAUGACGUCAAAUCAUCAUGCCCCUUAUGACCUGGGCUACACACGUGCUACAAUGGAUGGUACAACGAGUUGCGAGACCGCGAGGUCAAGCUAAUCUCUUAAAGCCAUUCUCAGUUCGGACUGUAGGCUGCAACUCGCCUACACGAAGUCGGAAUCGCUAGUAAUCGCGGAUCAGCACGCCGCGGUGAAUACGUUCCCGGGCCUUGUACACACCGCCCGUCACACCAUGAGAGUUUGUAACACCCGAAGCCGGUGGCGUAACCCUUUUAGGGAGCGAGCCGUCUAAGGUGGGACAAAUGAUUAGGGUGAAGUCGUAACAAG
Molecule: ribosomal RNA, 1476 nt
Filed under: Lacticaseibacillus rhamnosus
Lineage: Bacteria; Bacillati; Bacillota; Bacilli; Lactobacillales; Lactobacillaceae
Description: bacterial SSU rRNA
Rfam family: Bacterial small subunit ribosomal RNA
Source: RNAcentral